RNAcentral lists this ribosomal RNA (714 nucleotides) under uncultured Cortinarius. RNAcentral's name for it is "eukaryotic LSU rRNA". The stretch from base 172 to 325 matches the Rfam family "5.8S ribosomal RNA". The record is from RNAcentral. Lineage: Eukaryota; Fungi; Basidiomycota; Agaricomycetes; Agaricales; Cortinariaceae.
GAUCAUUAUUGAAAUAAACCUGAUGGGUUGUUGCUGGUUCUCUAGGGAGCAUGUGCACACCUUGUCAUCUUUAUAUCUCCACCUGUGCACUUUUUGUAGACCUUUCAGGUCUAUGUUGCUUCAUUUAACCCCCAUGGAUGUUAAAAAAAUGGUGUGCCUUAUAAUAUAUACAACUUUCUUCAACGGAUCUCUUGCUUCUCUCUUCCAUGAAUAACGAACCGAAAUGAGAGAAAUAAUGUGAAUUGAUUAAUUAAUUGAAUCAUCCAAUCUUUCUACGCACCUUGCUCUCCUUGCUUUUCCUAGGAACAUGCCUGUUUGAUUGACUUUAAUAUAUAUCAACCUUCUCUUGCUUAGUGAGUGGGAUGUAGGGGUUUGCUGGCCUCUUACUUGGGUUCAGCUCUCCUGUCCUGAAUUGCCUUAACAAACUGUUCUUUGCUGUGAUAACUAUCUUAUCUAUUGAAUGGGAGGGGAAGUUCAGCUUUCCUUCCCUCCUUGGACUGUUUAUCUUUAAUGUGACCUCACAUCAAGUCGGACUACACGCUGAACUUAACUUAAUCAUAUAACGGAGGAAAAGAAACUAACCUGGAUUCCCCUCCCAUAUGAACUGGAAGUGAGAAAAGAUCAAAUCUAAUUUCUGAUCUGGCUUCUGGCUGGCCUAGUUGAAAUCUAAAGAAGAGAUAUGCGCGCUGGACCGGGUACUAGUCUCCUGACUGA